RNAcentral lists this long non-coding RNA (339 nucleotides) under Capsella grandiflora. RNAcentral describes it as "long non-coding RNA (CGRA_LNC001269)". The record is from RNAcentral. Lineage: Eukaryota; Viridiplantae; Streptophyta; Magnoliopsida; Brassicales; Brassicaceae.
UAACCUGUUUCUGCGGAUCCGCAUUCUCCUUAGUAUCAGAAGCAGCCGAAACGUCCUUUCCAUCUACAUCAGCCUGAGAUGCUUUAUUGUUCUUCUUCUGCUUCCGUCUACGGCGGCGACGGUCACUCUCACGAGAUUUCUUCGAGGAAGCGGUGGUGUUUCCGUUGGAGACAUCGCCGUUAGAAACGACGCUAUUUUCGUGUGCGUCAGUUGAAUCGGCGGUCAUAUUCGGCGAAGUCUCGGAUUCGACGGGAAAGUGAGUUACAGAAGAGAAGAAGAAAACAAGGAAAUCGAGAGGAUAUAUACAAACGGAGUCGGUUUGCUGAAAUUACCUCUCAA